CGAUUCUACGUGCACAUCGCCUAAAUAGCCUAAAAUUAAAAUGUCUAAGUUUUAAUCAUAUUUUAGACGGCGGAUUUAACAAGUGCUAUUCCAGAACGUCAAGCUGACUAAAUUUAGCCAGAUUUUAGACGGAUUCUAAAAUUUCUAAGUUGAAUUGAGUGUGUUGCCACUUUAAAAAAAUAAGUGAACGAAUGAAUGAAUGAUAUCUGUAUAAAAACUGUAAAAUCGUAUUUUCUUUUGGGUGAAAUAUGAUAAUUUAAUGAAUUUUAUUCCAUUACAUAUAUUUAACACUAGUGUACACACCUUAGACCACUAAAACGUUACUUUUUAAUUAUGUAAUUAAAAAUAAUUAAUCAAAUUUUAAUAGGCAACAUUUAAAAAAAUCUGCUGUCAAGUACGAAGAAGUUUGUAAACUUGUUUGUAUUCCAAUUUGUUUGGUUUUGUUUGUGGAAAACGUGGAAAAUGUCGGUGUCGCGAAAGCGGAGCAAUAAAACGCAACAGGAGGUGCUCGUAGAGCAUCUCCAUGCUAACUUGAUGUUAGCAAGAGGAAAUACGGCUAGCCCCAAAGUGGCAGCAUUUUAGGCGGCCCUAACUGUUACUCUUAAUAGUCACGGAUGUCGAAGGACAGUGGCGGAGUGGCAGAGUAUUUGGUCGCAGUGGACACAGAAGGUCAAAUCUAAGUACAGAAAAUACAGAGAUCAAACGGAGGGCACUGGUGGAGGUCCUGCAUUAGUCCGCCCACUGACAGACACAGAACUUAAGGUUUUGGAGGUCGUAGGAACAGCUGCAGUGGAUGGAUUUACCAAUCUGGAGACUCCACUAGUUGGUUCUGUUGAAAUUUCAACACCGGCACCAGUUGAUGAACAACCACCAGUUGCUGCCCAGCUGCCAAUUGCUAUCCAGCCAUCAGUCGCUGACCACCCACCAGGUGCUGUCCAGCCACCAAUUGCUGUCCAGCCAUCAUCUGCUGCUGUUCAACCUCCAUCAUCUUCAGCCCAAUUGCGGAGUUCUCAUAGGCCAGAACGUACUCUUCCUCGCUCAUUUAUUACCUCGUCGCAACGACGACAGCGGAAAAGACCUUCGCGGCCCAAACCAGCAGAAUUACUGCAAGGGUCAUUAGACCGGAAUCAUGAAUUAUUCCGGUCUACAAUAACACAGGCAGCAGAGACCUUAGCCACUGCCAUCAGAGUAGCAGGGGAGGCCAUUUCCUCGGCUAUUAGGAACCAUGGUGGUUUACAGAACAAUGAUGGUGGUGGGCAGUCGGUAGAAUAUUUAGACGAAGAUCUAUUAGAGUAACAGUAAGAGCCAUCCAAUUUGUUGUUUCUUUAGUAAGUUAGCGAUAUUUAUUGUUAUUUUUUGUAUGAAAAUAUUUGACCCCUCCCCUUAUUCGGGCUUCUCUUCGCUCCAACUUUUCAUACAAACAGUUCUUAUUUGAAGACGAGCCAACAAGUCAUUAAAUGUUUGUACACAUAUUUCUAAAGGGAAUAUUCCUUUGCUUUGCUAGCUUUUGCUAAAAUUGGAGGUUGUCAAUCUACAUAUCUAAGCUUAAUGAUUUUUGUUCAAAAUGUAUUCUCCGUUUAGUUUGAAACAACAUAUCUUUACAAAAUUUUGACAAACCACAUGUACUCGUUUUUAGAAUAUAUCUACAAAUCUUUAUUGACUUUGAUGGUCUGUUUUCAAUUGAGAACGACGUACUUUUACGUUCGUAUGUAAAGUGAAGCGGAAAACUAGCGUUUACUUGCAAAACUAGUGACAUUUUGAUUUACCAACAACAAGCGGAAUAGAGUUGCAAUUUUGCAAGUACGGUCGACCAAAUUGAUUUCUGGGCCACUUCGUACCUUGUCACAGUGAAAAUCAAUUUGAAGCUGUUAGAGAUCUCUUAUUAUUAUCACUGUGACAACGUACGAAGUGGCCCAGAAAUCAAAUUUAUCUAUUUAAAUUGUUAUGUUUGAAACAUUUUAUCUAUAAAUGAAAAUAGUAGGCCAUUCUAUUUUCUAAAAUCAUUAUAGAUUGCAUGGAGCGGAAUUUUAGUUGUCAGUUUGGGGUUCUUAGGAGGUAAACAACCUAAGAGUACCCGACCCUGAGAGGUCAGCUUGACCCCUAAAUUCAUGAUGUAAGCUUGAAAAGCACAGAGCGCGGCACAGCGUCGUUGCGUGGCGGAGACGGUUUUUUGGUGAAGCCAACGCGGUCCGGGGGACGUCCUAUCAAAAAAUGAAGCAGUAAUGACAGUCGAUAGUUUCGGAAAGAUCAAAAAUGCAAAACCGCCUCCGCGCCGCACCGUGCCGCGCCUGCUCUGUGCGUUUCGACCUGUAGGCUGCAGUAAUGAUUUGUUAAUACUUAGUAAUUUUAUUUUGUAUAUUGAUAAUUUGUUUUAUUUGUAAGGAAGCGAUAUUUCAUUUUAAUUUUAUUGUAAUCUUUUCUUUUCAACGCUCUGUCAAAUACAAAUAGGUGGCACUCACACGCCAUGACAUCAAAAUAUCAAACACGUCGCAGUGACCGAUAUAUCCGUCGUUGGCGUUGAACCGAUGGUGCGGAUAUAUACGUCGUUGGCGCCCAAAUGGUUAAACUACAACCGUGGCAAACAAGCCCACGUGGACGAUUCUGAUUUCAAAAACAAUCACGAGCGCGCUGCUUACCCUUUUUAACCCCCGACGCAAAAACGACGGGGUGUUAUAAGUUUGACGUGUCUGUGUGCGUAAAUGUGUAUGUGUCCUUGUGGCAUCGUAGCUCCCAAACGGAUGAUCCGAUUUUAAUGCGGUUUUUUUUUGUUUGAAAGGUAUAUCAGUCGAGAGUGUUCUUAGCUAUGUUUGGUGGAAAUCGGUUCAGGUCAUCAGGUCGUUUGUUAUUUUUGGUCGGGGGUUUUUUAAAUUUUAAAUUUAGGUUAGGUUAUUGAUAUGAGAAUUCGUUAUAUUGACAGCUAGAGACAAAUGCAGGUACCCCAAUCUCAAAACAACGUAGUUCCGGAAGCUCUGGAGACCCCUGGAAGUCUGUAAUGUGUGCACUAGUGCCACUCGUAAAUAACUGUGAUUUAAAUUUAACGUUAGAUAUUGAAACGAGGGGAGGCCUACGUCCAGCAGUGGACGUCCAUCAGCUGAUAUGAUGAUGAUGAUUUAAAUAACUAACCAACUCAGGAAAGUUGGUAAGCCCCUGACAUUUUCAUUUCAAAGAACAACAUUUUCCUCAAAAACGGCUGGACCGAUUUGAUAAUGAUAAAACAUGUCUAAGAACCAUUGCUCUACAAUACAGACAUUUAUUAUUUUCCAGUUGCUUAAGCAUUAUUGAGAGGCUUGCUCAGAUAAAUAUUUAAAAUAAUCUGUUUAGAUAUAAGUAUUUGUACCUUACUACGUACAUUUAUGUUUGAAACCUUGGAAAUGCUCAUAAUGAACUCGACGGUAUAGACUGAUAGCAGUACUUUUACCUAUAUACUGCUAUCAGAAUGAAAUAUCGCUCCGCAAAUGGGUCUAAAUUUCCCAAAAAAAACCUGUUUCCAGUAUAGAAUGUAGAACAUUUUGUCAGCUUUCAAAUAUUUUUCUAGGCAUAUCCUAAUAAGCGAAAAACAAUAACUUGAUUUGCCUUAAGGCUCAUUUUAAUUUACACAGAGAUGGCAAGAUUUAUUUCAAAAUAUUACUUAAACUAUAAGUUAUGAAGGAAUGUACCAAACUGUAAUUGUAAUAAGUAAUAAAAGACUAUGAUAGUGUUAA
Cydia amplana is the source of this 3701-nucleotide long non-coding RNA. RefSeq lists it as uncharacterized. The transcript has 4 exons. The record is from RefSeq and is a predicted model, not a curated record. Lineage: Eukaryota; Metazoa; Arthropoda; Insecta; Lepidoptera; Tortricidae.